This 253-nucleotide ribosomal RNA is filed under the name uncultured bacterium. RNAcentral describes it as "partial 16S ribosomal RNA". It matches the Rfam family "Bacterial small subunit ribosomal RNA", at positions 524 to 776 of the family's 1533-position model. The record is from RNAcentral.
UACGGGGGGGGCAAGCGUUGUUCGGAAUUACUGGGCGUAAAGGGCGCGUAGGCGGUUCGCUAAGUUGAAUGUGAAAACUCUGGGCUUAACCCAGAGCCUGCAUUCAAUACUGGCGGGCUAGAGUUCUGGAGGGGAUAGCGGAAUUCCUGGUGUAGCGGUGAAAUGCGUAGAUAUCAGGAGGAACACCGAUGGCGAAGGCAGUGGGCUGGGCCGGCACUGACGCUGAGGAGCGAAAGCGUGGGGAGCGAACAGG